RNAcentral lists this transfer RNA (87 nucleotides) under Deltaproteobacteria bacterium. Its description in RNAcentral is "tRNA-Leu". It matches the Rfam family "tRNA". Rfam says of the family: Transfer RNA (tRNA) molecules are approximately 80 nucleotides in length. Their secondary structure includes four short double-helical elements and three loops (D, anti-codon, and T loops). Lineage: Bacteria; Pseudomonadati; Myxococcota; Myxococcia. The record is from RNAcentral. RNAcentral also lists the same sequence under 2 other names.
GCGGCGGUGGCGGAACUGGUAGACGCGUCAGCUUGAGGGGCUGGUGGGCGCAAGCCCGUGGAGGUUCGAGUCCUCUUCGCCGCACCA